Molecule: ribosomal RNA, 465 nt
Filed under: uncultured Klebsiella sp.
Lineage: Bacteria; Pseudomonadati; Pseudomonadota; Gammaproteobacteria; Enterobacterales; Enterobacteriaceae
Description: bacterial SSU rRNA
Rfam family: Bacterial small subunit ribosomal RNA
Source: RNAcentral
CCUACGGGGGGCAGCAGUGGGGAAUAUUGCACAAUGGGCGCAAGCCUGAUGCAGCCAUGCCGCGUGUGUGAAGAAGGCCUUCGGGUUGUAAAGCACUCUCAGCGGGGAGGAAGGCGGUGAGGUUAAUAACCUCAUCGAUUGACGUUACCCGCAGAAGAAGCACCGGCUAACUCCGUGCCAGCAGCCGCGGUAAUACGGAGGGUGCAAGCGUUAAUCGGAAUUACUGGGCGUAAAGCGCACGCAGGCGGUCUGUCAAGUCGGAUGUGAAAUCCCCGGGCUCAACCUGGGAACUGCAUUCGAAACUGGCAGGCUAGAGUCUUGUAGAGGGGGGUAGAAUUCCAGGUGUAGCGGUGAAAUGCGUAGAGAUCUGGAGGAAUACCGGUGGCGAAGGCGGCCCCCUGGACAAAGACUGACGCUCAGGUGCGAAAGCGUGGGGAGCAAACAGGAUUAGAUACCCGAGUAGUC